UGUGUAAAGACGUUUAUUGGUUUUAAAGAUUUGUUUUCCAGAAUCAUUGUUUUUUUCUCAUUAGGGCAGUGCCUCUAGAUUAUUUGACUCAUGCACUCACCAUCUUCCAGUGGUAAACAUUUCUUUCCUAUUGAUUUAUGCCACAUGCAUUUUUUUCUCUGCUUCUGAGGAUCACAGAAGAGGAUAACUCUGGAAAUAGGAUACACCAAAGUCUCCCCAUGAAUUGCAGUGAGGGUCUGAAAGUUCGCAGUCACUCACGGUAUACAGAUCAGCAUCCUAGCAUUGUCAUGAUGGCAACCACAUUCAUGAAAUGAAGUCACAUUGUAGAGAAGGCAGGCAGGAAUGAAACCAAGCACAUCAGGUGACAGCAGUUUCUGUGUUAGCUCAAGUAGUGUCAUCACCAGUGAUUGCCCAAGAUCUAGAGACACAAAAUGGUUGCAUGUCUACAAAGUAGGACAGUCACUUAAUUUACCACCAGUAGAAGAAAAGAGAAAGCCACCUCCUGGUUUUAACUGUGCAAGAGACACAGGGUGAAUUGGCAGUGGGGGGCAGUGCAGGGAUCUUUUUUUCCUUCUAUGCGGCCUUACUGACCUGGGAGGACGGCCUCGCACCUGACCCCCUCAUUGCACUCUAUUUGUCUGGCCUUAUCAUGACCUUGAAAGAAAAUCUUACUUCCCUCUGUUUUGAUUGUUUCUGUUUGGCCAGCACACUUUGCUCCCGUGUUUCUUCUGGAACCAAACUAACAUCACUUAUUGCUUUCCUGAACGUCAACAGAGUUUGUUUGCCUUUCCAGUUUAUUGACCACAUUCUGUGGAUCAGACAGGCCCUGGGCUUAAAAAUGAUACUCAAUACUAUGUGAAUUAGAGGCUGCAAAAAUUAGAAAGAGAAGUAGAACCUAACAGAAAACUAAGAACAGAGCUGUACAUGACUUCAGUGUCUUACAAAGUUCUGACUACAGUCCCACGGGCUGAGCUCCAAGCCCCUUACAGAAGCUUCCCAAAGCAGUUGGAGGGAAUUUCUGCCCUCUGCUCCAAUUUGCUUUGGGCACAGAAUGGAUCAUGUGGGUGUUUCCCAGCUGGCUUGGAAGACUCGUGACUGUACUGAUUCAAUGGUUGGGUGAAGAGUGUGUGUUUGAUGAGGGCAACAUGAAUUGCCUAAUGGUCUCAUGAAGCAACAUAAAGGAUCAGAAAGCCACAGUAAGGCAGUGGCCUUGUUGCUCCUGUCCUACUGUGGACAAGCCCCUCAAAGUCUCUGGGCUCGCCUCCUUCACUGCAGAGGGUGUAAAAUUAGACUAAGUGGUCUUCCAGAUUCAGUGACUCUACCCUCACUACAGUCAGGAAGUAAGCUCUGCCCCUUUAGAAAGCAAAUUCCAUUAAAAUUUCACCUGCUGUUGGAUGGGGACAUGGAAAUAGAAUUCCUACGCACAGGGCAAGCUCCACACACCAGGCUAGGUUGUCAGGUGGGACUGUGUCCUGCUUCCUGAAAUCAGCUCCAUGAAUAGGGUCUCUGCAGGUGACAGGUGGCAAGGAGACUCCAGUUCUCCCAUUCAAGGCCAGUGAGGACAGAGUCCACACUCCCUUUCAAGGUGUCCUCAGCCCCUCCUAUUUCUACACCUGCCCUUCUUCUUCCCUUUGCCGAACCAUGGCUCAAACCUGAUUGACUCCAUGAAAUCUUUCUGGUUUUCAGUCAGAAAAUCUCUGGACUUGCACAAUGUCUUUAAUUUCUGCAGUGCAAUUUGGCACUUGCCUUGCUUGGUGCUGGUGCCUGUGUGCUAUUCCUAUCUUUUCAGUUGCUAUCCAGGGAAGGGGCUGUACCUUAAUCUUCUGCAUGCCCUGCAUGUAAGAGGAGAAUGCUGAGUGAGUGGAGAGAUGGUCAGUUGUUAUUGGUUGAUUUUUGGGUCAGUUGGUUGACUUAAUGUAAGAACUGGGGACGGAAAGCAAGUAUAUGAUUACCAGGUACGUGUAUUUUAACCACUGUAAUUGAUCAUUCUGAGUCGAUAUCUAUGUGGGUUCUAAUUAAAGCCUGCUGUAAUGUAAAUUUCCUGAUACUAUGAAAAUGACACUUACAUUUUGUUGACAAUCUUUAGUCUCCAAAGCACUUCUGCUGCAUCAUUUUGGCCAAUUCUCACACUGACCUGCUAGGAGUACACAGCUGAGGAAACCGAGGCUCAGGCAGGUGGAGUGACUGGCCAGGGUUACACGGAUACAUGGCUUUUUGUCUUUCAAUCCCAGGUCUUUUUCACUCGUCUACAUAUUUUUCUCUUAAAAAAAGGUCAAAUUUUGACAGAUGGAGCUGAAAACUUUAAGCCUACAUCCUGGUUUUUCUGAGUAGUGGAUUUUAGAGACAGCAAGUCUUUGCAGG
Molecule: long non-coding RNA, 2361 nt
Filed under: Macaca fascicularis (crab-eating macaque)
Lineage: Eukaryota; Metazoa; Chordata; Mammalia; Primates; Cercopithecidae
Description: lncRNA (ENSMFAG00000053181.1)
Source: RNAcentral